This 68-nucleotide transfer RNA is filed under the name Sorineuchora shanensis. Its description in RNAcentral is "tRNA-Ala". The record is from RNAcentral. Lineage: Eukaryota; Metazoa; Arthropoda; Insecta; Blattodea; Pseudophyllodromiidae.
AGGAUAGUAGUUAAAUAUAACAUUUGGGUUGCAUACAAAAAGUACUAAUAAUUUAUUAGUCUAUCUUA